Gallus gallus (chicken) is the source of this 2159-nucleotide long non-coding RNA. NCBI's taxonomy places the organism in Eukaryota, Metazoa, Chordata, Aves, Galliformes, Phasianidae. The record is from Ensembl.
AAGAAGUAGUGAAAUUAAUUAGGCAGUUGAUCAGUCCUGAUGGCAAGGCAAAUCCUUAUAUCAUUUGGCCCAUCCUAAUGGAAGGAAAGAGGUAUAUCCACUGACUACAAAAUAAACCAGUGAUCCAACCAGACUUUGUCCAAAGAUGAUAAAUAUUCAGGCACUAAGAAAAAUGUUAUAUAUAUAUUUAAGUAUCUACAUUUUACAGCAGAUUAAGGGACAUCACAUACUGCUGUAACUAUUGGGCACUUUCUAAGUGUUUCACGGAAUUAAGCUGAAGUGUUCAUAAGCCCAGUUUUUGCUAUUGAAUACUAGCAUAAUAUUUAAAUCCAAAUCUUGUUAUAGUUCCUACCUUUUAAAAAGAUUACUCUUCUUGAUCUUCAUCUGUGUGCAUUGGAAAACUGUUCAUUGUUUUAAUAGAUGUGGCAUAAUAGUAUAAGCUUGGAACAGGAAAUAUAGACACUGCAUUUCUUCUUUAUGUUCAGAGAAGUGUCAAAUUAAUAAUCAUUUUAAAAUGAUAAAGAUAGACCCAUAAUCUCAGAAUUUGCCUAUCCCUGGUUCAGACUUCAAGAUGAUCUCUCUCUUUAUUAUUCUUGCCCUUAAUGAGGGAAGUUUUGUUUUCUGUUUGAUCAGAAUUAUGCUCAAGAUCAAAAGUUUAAUGGAAAACAUGUUCAUACGAAACAUCAUAUUUUGCAAAUUGAAAAUACUAUUUGAUUUCAAAUUGACUUCUGUUUCAUCUUCAGCAAAACUUUUGUGAGAAGAUCCAAAAAUAUUUUGAUAAGUAAGGUAUCAGUAAUGCUACUUUUUUGUUUAUUCCUUACCGUGUAAUCUUCUCAAAAAAUGAAAAGACUGCUAUGUUGGCAUCCUUAUUUGUCACAUCAUAGCAAAUCAGAAUUUAUUUUCCAUUAAAGGUACAUUGAUUUUUCUUCUCAUAUGAAAUGAAUGGAUAAUUAUUACAGUGAAGACAUAUUAGUACAUCCAUUUUCUCCAACUAUUCUGCAAUUUCAAGGCAGAAGUAUUUUAAGAGGCUCUUAGAAAAGUGUUUCAUACUGAUAUUAGUUCAGAGAGGCUUUUGUUGCUGUGAACAGUCAAAAUUUACAAGAGUUUACUUGAUAGUGACAGGUUCUCUUUGUUGGCAAUCUAAGCAGCCAUGUGAUCACAAAAAUAAAUAGGUGAACUCAGUAAAACCUAUUCUGUCUGAUAAUCAUAAUCACUGAAGGCAAGAUGAUCAAUAAUUACGAUCAAAACUUUUUUGGGGAAGAGGGGGAAUGACUUUAGAAAAUGCAUAUUUAAUGAUGUGCGUAAUUACAUGUCUCCUGCAGAAGUGUUGAAAAGCAAUCAAAACUGAAAUCUCAUUUACAGAGUGUAUUGUGAAAUAUAAUUGUUGCCUGAAGGAAAAAAAUAUUUAAGAUGCCACACUUUUCUGGAAUAGUUCUUUUGUAAGAAGAACAGGGAGCAACCUCCAGAGGCACUUGCAAAAUAAAAAUAGAAUGCAAUGAAGAAAUGAUUAUUUUUCAACAAUUUUAGAAAUGACUGAAUUUGGUAGAGAACAAUUUGUGUGGCAGUUUUCUAGUAUGCCUACAAACUCUGCAGCAAUUCAGGACCUGCAUAGUCACUGCUCUGGCUGCUGAGAAACAUGCACUCUCUGUUGUGUGCCCGAUUGUGUGCAGUGCAGCAAAGAUGGACUGGGGUUAUGGGGAAUUACAGACGUAAUAUCAGAAGAUCAUGUUUAUAAGUGCAGAGAGACCAAGAUUAUUACCAGGAUGAAUUCACAGGGAACUCUGGAGUUUUGUAACUAAAUGACACACUAAAGUCUUUGAAACAGUCCACCCUACUUUUUUCAGAUUCUGGAAUAAUGCUGUAGGAGCAGAAGGCUCUGACACUCUGAUAGAUCUUUGAGCAUCUAGCUUUUAAGAUAGUGAGAAAUAAGUGGACACAUCCCUAUUUUCUGAAAGGACAGUGAAGUGUUUUUUCCAUCCUGUGAGUGCUUCCUACCGAAAGUUUCCUUCUUUAUGCUGUUAUGCUAGAUAGAACAAUAUAAAAACAGCCUGAUGUCUGUGAAUAACAAUUGUAAAUAAAAUAUUUUAUAUUUAUAUUUUAUAUUUUAAACUGGAUGUUUGCUUGUAACCUCGCAGCUUUUAAUAAAAUGAUUUUUGCAC